CCUCCCUCGGACCCGGGGCAGAUGGAAACCAGAGCGCAGCAUGCACUUGGAGCCUAGCUGCUGCAGGCCCAGAAGUCCCCUCUAGCAGCCCGAGCCCCCUUCGGCCUCCUCCCUGCUCUCUGGAAAGGCCCAAGGAGCCAGAAGCAGGAAUGGCUGGACGAGGGCCUCUGGGAGAGCCACGUGUGCCAGCCCAGCCCCUGCCAGCUCUCAGGCUGAUCUCACAAUGGCUCCUUUCACCAGAGAGAGGAGCUGGCCCUCCUGCAGCCCUCGAGGUGAUGUCCCAGGCCCCAGGGGCAAGGAGUGGGAGACCAGAAACUAAGGAAAGGGUUGCUAAGGCUGGGAGAGGUAAAGGUGCUGAGCCACCCCCUCACGACCACCCGAUGUCACGGUGACCACCCCGCAACGGGGGCCACAGGAGAUCAGGCUCUGUGGGGCCCGGGGCCAGAGUGGGGGUGGGAGGAAGUCCUGAAGCAUUCCUGGCCUCAGGAUCGAUUGAUUCAAUGGUUCGAUGUGAUGACAUAAGGACCCAGGAGCUUCCAGUGUCCUGCUCUGCCCAUUGGAUCCAGUCUAAGAGCACAAGAGGAAACAGAAGCAGAGGGAGAGAGAGAAUCUGAAGAGAGAGAAUCCAGC
This is a long non-coding RNA of Canis lupus familiaris (dog), 630 nucleotides long. RefSeq lists it as uncharacterized. The transcript has 3 exons. Lineage: Eukaryota; Metazoa; Chordata; Mammalia; Carnivora; Canidae. The record is from RefSeq and is a predicted model, not a curated record.